UCGUAUCAAACCGGGGUGCGUCCGGGUCGGCCCUGCACCGGCGGAAACGCCGUGCUGCGGGCUCCCGGCGUCCCUUCCACACCAAACCCCUGUGCACCUUUGGGAAGGCAGGCGCGGAGACGCGUCCUGUCGGCCCCUUUACAAACUCUGUAUCUCAUAGAAUGACCGCGGACCUCGUCCGCCUAAACACAUAA
RNAcentral lists this unclassified non-coding RNA (194 nucleotides) under uncultured Trechisporales. RNAcentral's name for it is "sequence contains ITS1". Lineage: Eukaryota; Fungi; Basidiomycota; Agaricomycetes; Trechisporales. The record is from RNAcentral.